UUUGUGGUUAUCGUUUUGGUUUUGUUUUUAACUAAAAUCAGCUUCUUUGAGGUUGUGGUAUAUCCACAGAUUGGUUGACCAAUAGUAUUUGUUUAUUGUAGGUUCUUUUUUUUUUGAGCAAAUUUUAUUGUAGGUUCAAAUCCUUGAUUCGUCUAUAGGAAAUUCUUGGAAACAAAUUCUCUGCCGGCGCUUACAAAGUAUGCAUUCACUUAGCUUUAGAUUGUUUUUAAUAAAGAUUCGUUGAAUCUUUGUGCUAUUGUUAUGUUUGAUCUUUUUGUUUGUUUUGAUUCUGUGAAAGAUUGUUCAACAUGGAAGACGAAUAAGUACAUUAAUCUUACAGUUUCUUGGUGGUUCUUCCUCUGAAAUGAAAAUUUGGGAGUGUCGAUUACUUUAUUGUGUUCCAUUAUGUUAAUAUCGCAGUGCUGGUCUUUGUCGUUGUUACUGGUUUCUCAUACAUAGCAACACUUGAUUGCUAUUUAGGUCCUAGGACAGAAUCAGUGGACUGAAUGUUCUUCUGAGGAGCUGCUCUCCGUUCAAGAAAAUGGGUAAUCCAUUAUGUCUUUCCUUUCACCAGGGUCAGAUGGCAAAUCAUCGAUAUUGGUAUCAGGUACUGGAGGAGAUUUUCUUUUGUCUUUCCUUUCAUCAUAUUCAGGCAGUAGCAGAUCAUUGACAUUAGUUUCAGGUACCGAAGUACAUACUUUUUUGUAGUAUUUUUCCAUUGAUUUUUUUUCUGAAAAAAAAGCUGUGUUAAACAAUACAAUCGAAAGGUAUGAAUUUUAAAAUUCACUUUUGCAAAUCAAAAAGAUGACAAUGUUGACCGAGAACUUUAUAUUACUUUAUCAUCAUCACAUCAGAGUCAGCGAAACCAAAUCGAUAUUAGAAUUUUUCAAGAACACAGUUUAUCAAAAAAAAUCAGCAGAGAAUUGUAGAAAAGUUUUUGUAUAUCUGUAAGAGGUUUCUUUUCAUUAUACCAUUAGAAUAAAGUAUUAACCAUGAAAAUAAAAGAACAAAUUAAGAUAGACAAAAAGUUACCACUUGUUGAAAUCAAGACGAUGAACACACGAGAAAGAAGUUUCAUUAGGGUUUUUAGUUUGUAACUUUAGCAUAAUUAUGUCAAUUUGGUAAAACAAUAAUUAUAUUUCUAAAAUGGGCUUGGAUAACAUACUUGAAUGGGCUGUGAUAUGUGGGGGCAAAAAAAAAUUCAUCAUUGUAACAUUUUUUAACUAAAACAAAUAUAGAAAAAAUCAAUAAUUUUUUUUUGUGGGGCAGCUGCCUCCUCCUUAACGUAUGUAGGUUCAUCCAUGACCGUACUAUGAUAGAUGUUUGUGGCAUAUGUGGUUAUUAUAUCAUGAAAAAAUAAUAUUUCUAUAAUAAACAAAAGAACAAAUUUUCAUUAAUAUAAAUUAUAAAAUUUUAUAAUUAAAUAAAAAUUAAUAAUGGUGGAUUAGUAACAAAGUAAAAAAAAUUAAAAUCAUAAACAAUAUAUAUUAAUAGUAUUGAAUAAACAAAUGAAUAAUAUAAAACAAGAUAUAUAACACCAAAAUAUACAAAAUAUAUUAAAUAAUAAUUAUAAACAAAAUUUAAAUAAAUAUUAAAAACGAAAAAAUAACCACAUAAAUGAACCAAAAGCCACAAACCAUAACCAGAUCAGCAUCAAACCAAAAACCAAAAAAUAUAAGAAACGAAAAAAGUUUAUAAAAUCUCAUCAAAUCAUAAAACUUCAAUUUAAAACAUAAACUAUAAAUAUACAUAUAAAUAAUUCCGCGCCACCGCGCGGGUCAGAAUCUAGUUCCUUCUUAAUAUUGAGUCCAAAACAAAUAGCAAAAUGAGCGAAAUAUGAAGUUCCUUAUUUGCAAAUACUAAAACAUUCACACAACCUAUGAAAAAGAAAGACAACAUACAUUUCUUAUUGGACAAUGUCAUGAUUCUUCCUAAGAACAUCAAAAGUAUACAUAAAGAGUUCUAUCAUUCAUUCCCCAAUAGAAUCCGCUUGAUUCUGAGUAAUAACCAAUAUUGUUGCGAGUAAAAGAUGAAACCAAAAUUAAUAUGCAUAUUAUUAGAUGACAAAUAUUUCUUUUCGGUUGCUUGAAGAAAUAUACAUUCAAGUGAGGUUACCUUGAAAGCGAUGAAGCUUCAAAUUUCUUGAAUCCUCAAAUGAUUUCUUAGACUGUCGUACAUAUGUGAAUAUGCAUUUUCUUCUUCAAAUUUAGUUUUUGUGUCUUCCAUUCACUAGAUUUAUGACUUUUGUUGCAAAGAACCAAACCAAUAACAUGAAAGUUAAGAAAAUUGAUAUCACUCAAAUUACCACAAGGAGUGAUGUGUACUCUCUCAAAUAAGAGGUUCAGUCGUAGUACUUAAGGAUCAAAUCCACAAAGAGUCAAGGCACACAAUAGAUCUUAAUCAGUUUAUGAUUAAGCUAGGCAAACAGAGUAAUUAAUAAAAAGCAAAGGUGACAAGGUAGUUGUUCACUUGAUUGAUUGAUGUUGUAAACAAUUAUGAGAAAUAGCUAGAUCUAGGGUUUUAAGUAAUCAUGGUUAUAGUGAUAUUAUGCUAAGGUUUUCAAUCCUUGAACUUGAAUUCUAAUUGCAAAGUAUUCCAGCUUCCGCAUGCGAAUAAAUCCUAUUGACUAAGUCCAAUAUCUCAGCUGUCGCUUGGUUAUAUGGUUCAAACGUCAAUCGAUGCUAUGAGAUUAGCGUCGAUCGAUGUUAACCUACUCAAGAGCACAAGCAUUACAAACAAUUCCUUGAAGGAAAUCUUUAUCACCUUAGCAUAUCUAUAUUUUGAGCUAAUCCCACAUAACCUUACUUUAAACCCUAAAUCUAACAAAUGUAACUACUCAGACAUAGCUAAGCAGAACAUAGCAAAUAUCUGAAUAGAAUGCAUAUAUAGAAUAAUGUAGAAAAACUAGAGUUCCAAUACAAAGCUCUGAAUGAGUCUUAGAUCUUCUCUUCAAACUACUAAAAAUCCUAAGUAUGUUUUGCCAUGAAAAUAAUAAAGUAUUAAAGUGUGUGUUGUCCAAAACAAUGGCAUGGCACAUUAAUAUUAGGUUAAAGUCGGUCACGGGUAUUUUUGUAAUUGAUGUGGAACUUGGGCCAUAAGUCAGUUGGGAACCAAAUCGGAUCUUGCGCGCUUUGCUGUUGAUCGACAACAAGAGUUGUCCAUCAAUCGAUGUUUGACUCUGAAUGUUGACUCUCGACUGGUUCGAUGGACAGCUACGACUUUUGUCGCUUUAUUCCCAAAAUGCCCUAAAAUCGCCACAUAUCUCCAAAACACUUAUAAACCUGUAAAUACUCUUAAAAGACUCCAAAACAUAAUAAAUAAUUCCUAAAACACUUAUAUACCGUGGUUAAAAACUGGUAAAAUCCAUGGUGUAUCAAAAAUCAAACAAUUUAACUUGAACUAACAAUAUACAAGGGAGGAAAUGUUUUGAGUCUAAACCUUCAAUGGUUUCCAAUGACAGACGCUUCAAUCCACUUUGAGUACGUUUUUUUGUUGCUCCUAACUUAUUUUGUCUUCGGUGAUGCUUUCAAUGAUUGAAACAAGAUUGAUCUUUUCUUGCUUCAGAGCUUCUUCAGAUUAAACACAGAAGUCACCGCGCGAAUACGACAUGCAAAACAGUUCAAAAAUGAAAAAAGUUGUGUGCUCUCAAGAAGUUUCUCAAUCUCAAAAAUGGUUUAGAUGAUACUACUAUCUACGCAUCAAGAACAACGAAGAUAUUGUAGCUGUACCCAAAGAGAUUGAAGUAGAUGGUGCAUCGACAAGAACAUUGAUCUAAGUGAAGUUUUUCAGGAUAAUCGAGUUUUCUCGAAGGAGACAAAAAGACAAUGCAAUGUCAGUUGGUCUUGGGCCUAGAUUUUGGAAUCCCUUAUAUAUUAAUUGAAAAACAUUACAACAUUGUUUUGUAGCCACGUGUCACCGUGAGAAUGAAAUUCAGAUUUCUUAGAGAAAUAUGUUGGUCCAUCUUAACUUAUACUAUACAUUUUAUUAAACUAACUAUUAAAUUGAUAAAUAGUGUACAAACAAA
Molecule: long non-coding RNA, 4024 nt
Organism: Brassica napus (rape)
Lineage: Eukaryota; Viridiplantae; Streptophyta; Magnoliopsida; Brassicales; Brassicaceae
Exons: 2
Source: RefSeq, a predicted model, not a curated record